GGUUACGAGACCCGGUCUACCACCGGGAUGUUCAUAACCCUUUGUUGUCCGACUCUGUUGCCUCCGGGGCGACCCUGCCUUCGGGCGGGGGCUCCGGGUGGACACUUCAAACUCUUGCGUAACUUUGCAGUCUGAGUAAACUUAAUUAAUAAAUUAAAACUUUUAACAACGGAUCUCUUGGUUCUGGCAUCGAUGAAGAACGCAGCGAAAUGCGAUAAGUAAUGUGAAUUGCAGAAUUCAGUGAAUCAUCGAAUCUUUGAACGCACAUUGCGCCCCCUGGUAUUCCGGGGGGCAUGCCUGUUCGAGCGUCAUUUCACCACUCAAGCCUCGCUUGGUAUUGGGCAACGCGGUCCGCCGCGUGCCUCAAAUCGACCGGCUGGGUCUUCUGUCCCCUAAGCGUUGUGGAAACUAUUCGCUAAAGGGUGUUCGGGAGGCUACGCCGUAAAACAACCCCAUUUCUAAGGUUGACCUCGGAUCAGGUAGGGAUACCCGCUGAACUUAAGCAUAUCAAUAGCCGGAGGAA
RNAcentral lists this ribosomal RNA (523 nucleotides) under Cladosporium uredinicola. RNAcentral's name for it is "eukaryotic LSU rRNA". The stretch from base 158 to 311 matches the Rfam family "5.8S ribosomal RNA". The record is from RNAcentral. Lineage: Eukaryota; Fungi; Ascomycota; Dothideomycetes; Cladosporiales; Cladosporiaceae.